Molecule: transfer RNA, 79 nt
Filed under: Ipomoea nil (Japanese morning glory)
Lineage: Eukaryota; Viridiplantae; Streptophyta; Magnoliopsida; Solanales; Convolvulaceae
Rfam family: tRNA
About the family: Transfer RNA (tRNA) molecules are approximately 80 nucleotides in length. Their secondary structure includes four short double-helical elements and three loops (D, anti-codon, and T loops).
Source: Rfam by way of RNAcentral
GACGGUUUGGCCGAGUGGUCUAAGGCGCCGAUUUAGGCUCUGGUCUGAAAGGGGUGGGUUUCAAAUCCCACAACCGUCA